This 1843-nucleotide long non-coding RNA is filed under the name Ovis aries (sheep). Its description in RNAcentral is "lncRNA (ENSOARG00000026480.1)". Lineage: Eukaryota; Metazoa; Chordata; Mammalia; Artiodactyla; Bovidae. The record is from RNAcentral.
GCCCCUCCCCCCCGCAGUCCCCCCCCCAGCCAGGCUCUGCGGCUCACCCGCCCCCGGCUCAGCAGCCUCUCCUCUUCAGGCAGGCCUGACCAUCCACCUCGUGCCUUGCAGGGCCAUCAGCCUCUCCUCUGUGAAGGGAGCGCCGGGGCGGGGGCCUGCAGGCUGGCCUCCCGUCCACCUCCCGGGGAAGCGUCCCAGCCAGACUUCUGUGUCUAGAACACAGCACAUGCGGCCCGGGCGCUCCCCACAGCUGCCAGCUCCUCCCCGACCCGGAGGCUCCCAGGCUCCAGCCCAGCGAAGCACCUGCUCCCUGUGCGGGGCGGGGCCCCCUGACCACGAGGCCCCUCUAAGAGCCUCUGCGGGAGCCCAGGGGCUUCCUGUGACAGUGGGCGUGUCACCGUUCCCCAGCUGACAACCGGGUGCCUGUGGAGCCUGGAGGCCCAGCACCCCCACCUAAGCUCGCUCCGCCAGGGCCAGACAGAGCCGCACACCACACGCUCAGUGAGCUUCGGCUCCAGCAGCCAUCCCCGGCCCCCCCCCCCGCCGCCCCCCCCCCCCCGACCCGGAGGCUCCCAGGCUCCAGCCCAGCGAAGCACCUGCUCCCUGUGCGGGGCGGGGCCCCCUGACCACGAGGCCCCUCUAAGAGCCUCUGCGGGAGCCCAGGGGCUUCCUGUGACAGUGGGCGUGUCACCGUUCCCCAGCUGACAACCGGGUGCCUGUGGAGCCUGGAGGCCCAGCACCCCCACCUAAGCUCGCUCCGCCAGGGCCAGACAGAGCCGCACACCACACGCUCAGUGAGCUUCGGCUCCAGCAGCCAUCUCUGUGUUUCACCAGCCAGCCUUCCACUCCAGCCCGCCAGGCGCCCGGCCGAGGGGCACAGCGAGGGCCUCGACAUCCCCCGGUGAGCAGCGAUGCCCUCUGGGCUGGAUGCCACGAGGCCUGCCCACCGGGGUGGGGGCUGAGCCCCCGGGGGCAGGCUGCUACGGCUCUGCCACUGUGAGGUGCGGGCGGCUGACGCUGGCCUGGAGGAACGGAAGCCUCUGUGGGCCCCUUCUGGACAGCCCCCGCGCAGCCAUGCCCAAGGCCAGGGCAAGGGCUCUGGGCCUUCCAGCAGCAAGGCCGGCCCAGGAGUUCCGAGUGUUGCCAACGGAGGGCCUCUGCCGGCCACGCCGCCAAGGACAGGGACCCAGGUGCAGCUUGGGAGGGAGGCGGCCGGACAGCUGCGUGUGCGCCUGGCGAGAGGUGCCGCCACCCUGUGGGGCCAGGCAGACUGUGGGCUCCUCGGUGCACGUCUGUGGGGUCCCCGGGCCCAGGCAAGCGGGGAGGGCCUGGCUGAGCGUCAGCUGGACGCCAAGUGCUUCUCUCAGGCGUGGCAAAGAGGCGAGGGGCGCAGGCUCCCGGCCCGGGCAGAGCAGUGUCCAGACCCCGCUGGGCCUCCGCGGGCGUGGCUCAGUUUCUCUCCAUAGGACGCGGCAGAGCCACGAGCAAGGGUUCCUGGGCCACGAGACCCAGCUCUGCCGAGAAACAGACACACUCCUCACGCUGCUCAGAUCAGGAUCCCGACAGCGAGGGGUCAGGCCGGCUUCUCCUGGAGGGCGUCUUCCGUCGGGACAGCCUCCGGGCGCUGGCCCGCUCCGGGGGCCGGGUGGCCUCCCCCUGGGGGUCCAUGUCCUCCCCGGGCGGGGGGCCGUGCUCCCGGGGCGGGGGGCCAUCCUCCCCGGGCGGGCCGCCUGCGUCCAGGCCCCGCAGCACGCUGUAGUUGAUCUUGCUGGAGAUCUUCUUCUGCUCCAGCAUCUUCUCAAUGGCCUCCCCGGCCGUGCUGGCCUGGAUCGGCUCCCCGCGC